UUAAGUGACUAAGCGUACACGGUGGAUGCCUGGGCAGUCAGAGGCGAUGAAGGACGUACUAACUUGCGAUAAGCGCAGAUAAGGCAGUAAGAGCCGUUUGAGUCUGCGAUUUCCGAAUGGGGAAACCCAACUGCAUAAGCAGUUACUGUUAACUGAAUACAUAGGUUAACAGAGCAAACCGGGGGAACUGAAACAUCUAAGUACCCCGAGGAGAAGAAAUCAACCGAGAUUCCGGUAGUAGCGGCGAGCGAACCUGGAUUAGCCCUUAAGCACUCGGUGAAGUAGGUGAACAAGCUGGAAAGCUUGGCGAUACAGGGUGAUAGCCCCGUAACCGACGCUUCAUCGAGCGUGAAAUCGAGUAGGGCGGGACACGUGAUAUCCUGUCUGAAUAUGGGGGGACCAUCCUCCAAGGCUAAAUACUCCUGACUGACCGAUAGUGAACCAGUACCGUGAGGGAAAGGCGAAAAGAACCCCUGUGAGGGGAGUGAAAUAGAACCUGAAACCGUGUACGUACAAGCAGUAGGAGCACCUUCGUGGUGUGACUGCGUACCUUUUGUAUAAUGGGUCAGCGACUUAUAUUCAGUGGCAAGGUUAACCGUAUAGGGGAGCCGUAGCGAAAGCGAGUCUUAACUGGGCGCUCAGUCUCUGGAUAUAGACCCGAAACCGGGUGAUCUAGCCAUGGGCAGGUUGAAGGUUGAGUAACAUCAACUGGAGGACCGAACCGACUAAUGUUGAAAAAUUAGCGGAUGACUUGUGGCUAGGGGUGAAAGGCCAAUCAAACUCGGAGAUAGCUGGUUCUCCCCGAAAGCUAUUUAGGUAGCGCCUCGGACGAAUACUACUGGGGGUAGAGCACUGUUAAGGCUAGGGGGUCAUCCCGACUUACCCAACCCUUUGCAAACUCCGAAUACCAGUAAGUACUAUCCGGGAGAUACACGGCGGGUGCUAACGUCCGUCGUGGAGAGGGAAACAACCCAGACCGCCAGCUAAGGUCCCAAAGUAUUGCUAAGUGGGAAACGAUGUGGGAAGGCUCAGACAGCUAGGAUGUUGGCUUAGAAGCAGC
This 1060-nucleotide ribosomal RNA is filed under the name Vibrio cholerae HC-7A1. RNAcentral describes it as "bacterial LSU rRNA". It matches the Rfam family "Bacterial large subunit ribosomal RNA", at positions 1 to 1116 of the family's 2925-position model. Lineage: Bacteria; Pseudomonadati; Pseudomonadota; Gammaproteobacteria; Vibrionales; Vibrionaceae. The record is from RNAcentral.